This 253-nucleotide ribosomal RNA is filed under the name uncultured bacterium. RNAcentral's name for it is "partial 16S ribosomal RNA". It matches the Rfam family "Bacterial small subunit ribosomal RNA", at positions 524 to 776 of the family's 1533-position model. The record is from RNAcentral.
UACGAAGGGGGCUAGCGUUGCUCGGAAUCACUGGGCGUAAAGGGUGCGUAGGCGGGUCUUUAAGUCAGGGGUGAAAUCCUGGAGCUCAACUCCAGAACUGCCUUUGAUACUGAGGAUCUUGAGUCCGGGAGAGGUGAGUGGAACUGCGAGUGUAGAGGUGAAAUUCGUAGAUAUUCGCAAGAACACCAGUGGCGAAGGCGGCUCACUGGCCCGAUACUGACGCUGAGGCACGAAAGCGUGGGGAGCAAACAGG